CGAAUUUGGAGCCCGGGUUCGGCCCGAGAGAUCGGCCCGGGUUCUUUUCGGGUCGAGCUUUUCCGUCUUGACCGUGUAAAACGGUUUCGCGGCAUUAUAUUCUGUAUGGGUAAAACUAUAUUGCAACUCGGUUACAAACUAUACGCGCGACUAUGCGUGCACCGUUACAACGAAAAAAGUGACACGUAAACGAAAUUGACAGCGUUUUCAAACCGACAUAUUGUAUUAUUACAUUAUAUUAUAAUCGAAUUUACGAGUUAAAAGAUCG
This is a non-coding RNA of Cinara cedri, 268 nucleotides long. NCBI's taxonomy places the organism in Eukaryota, Metazoa, Arthropoda, Insecta, Hemiptera, Aphididae. The record is from the annotation of a GenBank genome assembly.